GAAUCUUCCGCAAUGGACGAAAGUCUGACGGAGCAACGCCGCGUGAGUGAUGAAGGUUUUCGGAUCGUAAAACUCUGUUGUUAGGGAAGAACAAGUACCGUUCGAAUAGGGCGGCACCUUGACGGUACCUAACCAGAAAGCCACGGCUAACUACGUG
RNAcentral lists this ribosomal RNA (157 nucleotides) under uncultured bacterium. Its description in RNAcentral is "partial 16S ribosomal RNA". It matches the Rfam family "Bacterial small subunit ribosomal RNA", at positions 359 to 507 of the family's 1533-position model. The record is from RNAcentral.